GGGGAUUUGGCUCAGUGAUAGAGCACUUGCUUAGCAAGUGCAAGGCCCUGAGUUCAGUCCCCA
This 63-nucleotide transfer RNA is filed under the name Rattus norvegicus (Norway rat). It matches the Rfam family "tRNA". From Rfam's summary of the family: Transfer RNA (tRNA) molecules are approximately 80 nucleotides in length. Their secondary structure includes four short double-helical elements and three loops (D, anti-codon, and T loops). Further hydrogen bonds mediate the characteristic L-shaped molecular structure. tRNAs have two regions of fundamental functional importance: the anti-codon, which is responsible for specific mRNA codon recognition, and the 3' end, to which the tRNAs corresponding amino acid is attached (by aminoacyl-tRNA synthetases). tRNAs cope with the degeneracy of the genetic code in two manners: having more than one tRNA (with a specific anti-codon) for a particular amino acid; and 'wobble' base-pairing, i.e. permitting non-standard base-pairing at the 3rd anti-codon position. Lineage: Eukaryota; Metazoa; Chordata; Mammalia; Rodentia; Muridae. The record is from Rfam by way of RNAcentral.